Molecule: ribosomal RNA, 2754 nt
Filed under: Phaeodactylum tricornutum
Lineage: Eukaryota; Bacillariophyta; Bacillariophyceae; Surirellales; Neidiaceae
Description: 23S ribosomal RNA
Rfam family: Bacterial large subunit ribosomal RNA
Source: RNAcentral
UAAAAAGUUUUUUCUGCAUUAAAUGAAUCCCUAAACAUCAAAACUAAAAAUGGACGUUUAAUAACGAAAAAUUGUAGGUGAGUAGUUUUUUUGCUGAGAACCUCGAUUUUCCAUUUUAUGGGAGACCAAAUUUCGUUUGAUUGAAGUUUAUUUUAAUCGUUGAUUAAAAUAUAUAAACUUAGUGAAUUGAACCAUCUAAGUAACUAAGGAAAAAAUCAACAGAGAUAUUGUAAGUAGCGGCGAGCGAACGCGGUAAAAAGGCUAUAGAAUUUUCAAUCAUACUUAAUAUUUAAAUAGCCGUAGAAGGAGAAAGCCCUGUAAGGUGAAAAAUUUGAAAAUUUAAAAAAGUAAAUUGAUGCAUGUUAUGCGUUGAUUGAAUAUUGGGGUACCAUCCUCAAAGUCUAAAAGUUUUGAUGCUUGAUAGUGAAUUAGUACUGUGAAGGAAAGGUGAAAAAGAAUUCAUGAAAAUUGAAAAGACAUUGAAAUUUAAUGCUAACAAGCAGUUAGAGCUCUUUAUUACGAGUGACAACGUAUCUUUUGUAUAAUAGAUCAACAAGUUUAUUUUAGUGGCGAGCUUACGCAAAUUAAAAAGUGCAGGCACAAAGAAAUUAAGUUCUAAAAUGUUAAAUGUAGUCUCUAAAAUAAAACCCGAAACUGAGUGAUCUAACCAUGGGCAGGUUGAAUUUGAAGCGGUAACGCUCAUCGGAGGGCCGAACUCGUGUAUGUGGAAAAAUAUUGAGAUGACCUGUGGUUAGGAGUGAAAGGCUAAUCAAACUCAGAGAUAGCUGGUUUUCUGCGAAAUCUAUUUAAGUAGAGCGUUUAAAAUUCUUCAUUUUGAGGUAGAGCUCUCGAUAAGCGAUGGGAAUGAAAAUUUUACUGAAUUUAGUGAAACUUCGAAUACAAAAUAAAAUGUUUUAAGCAGACAGACUAUGAGUGCUAAGAUUCAUAGUCAAGAGGGAAACAGCCCAGACUGAUGGUUAAGGUCCUUGAAAGUGAUUAAGUGGUAAAAACGUAUAAAAACUCUGACAACCAGUAGGUCAGCUUAGAAGCAGCUAGCUUUUAAAGAGUGCGUAAUUGCUCACUGGUCUAGUUUUUUCGCGUUGAAAAUGUAGAGGGACUUAAAUUACUUGCCGAAAUUGUAGAUUUAAGUCAAUGAUCUUAAAUGGUAGCAGAACGUUCUGUAAAUUUAAAAAGGUUUAUGGUGAUAUAAACUGAAGAAAUCAGAAGUGAGAAUGUUGAUAUGAGUAGCGAUAAACAAUGUGGAAAACAUUGUCGCCUUAAGUCUGAGGUUUCCAAAUCAAGGUUAAUCCGUUUUGGUGUAGUUAAUCGGUCUCUAAGAAAAUUAAACGAAAGUUUAUUUUGAUGGGUAAGGAAAUUAUUAAUUUUAUAUUUUUUAUAAGUGACAAAACAUUAAUAAUAUAUUUAUUUUAUGGUUUGAAUGAAUGUUUUAUAGUCUUUUCAAGAAAUAGCUUUAAAAAUUAAAACCGUACUUAAACCGACACAGGUGGACAAAUUUAGUAAAUUAAGGCGCUUGAGAGAAUUGCGUUGAAGGAACUCGGCAAAAUGACUUCGUAACUUCGGGAUAAGAAGUAACUUUAUUAGGGUAACCUUACAAAGUUGUCACAGAAUCGGGGACAGCGACUGUUUAUUAAAAACACAGGUCUCUGCGAAUUUGAAAAAAGAUGUAUUGAGGCUGACGCCUGCCCAGUGCUGCAAGAUUAAAGGAAAGGGUCAUUUGGCUCUAACCCUAAACCCCAGUAAACGGCGGCUGUAACUUGACGGUCCUAAGGUAGCGAAAUUCCUUGGCAUUUAAUUGGUGUCCUGCAUGAAUGGCGUAACGACUGUCCCACUGUCUCCAGCACAAACUCAGCGAAAUUGAAUUUUCCGUGAAGAUGCGGAAUACUUGCGGCCAGACGGAAAGACCCUGUGCACUUUUACUACAGUUAUACAUUGUGCUAAAAAAUUUUAUGUGUAGCAUAAGUGGUUGUUGUUUUGAUUAAGUAAAUAAUGAAAGUAACCUUUCACGUAAGUGAAUAGAUUAAACUAAAAUGAAAUACCACUCUUAAAAGUUUUUAUCACUAAUUUGUCAAGACAGUUUAUAAUGGGUAGUUUGACUGGGGCGGUCGCCUCCAAAAAAGUAACGGAGGCGUACAAAGGUAAGUUUAAGUUGAAAAACAUCGAUUCGUAAGCGCAAUAGUAAAUACUUGCUUGACUGCAAGAUUGACAAAUCGAACAGGGACGAAAGUCAGUUAUAGUGAUCCGAUGAUUUUGGGUGGAAACGAUCAUCGCUCAACGAAUAAAAAGUACGCCAGGGAUAACAGGCUAAUCAUUCUCUAGAGACCUUAUCGACGGAAUGGUUUGGCACCUCGAUGUUGGAUUAUCGCAUCCUGGAGCUGUAAUCGGCUCCAAGGGUUUGGCUGUUCGCCAAGGAAGGCGGUACAUGAUCUGAGUUUAGAACGUCGUAAGACAGUUUUGUCCCUAUCUACCGCAGGUGUUGAAAACUGAAAGGAUUAAACCUUAGUACGAGAGGACCGGGAAAAGCGAAUCUCUGGUAAAUCGAUUGUUAGACCAAUAGCAUCGUCGAAUAGCUAAAUUCGUAAUAAAUAAUUACUGAAAGCAUCUAAGUGAGAAAUUAACCUUAAAACUAGUUUUCCAACAAAUGUAGAAGAUGACUACAUUGAUAGACUUAGAGUGUAUGAAUUGUAAAGUUUUUAGCUUGGAAGCACUAAAAAAUUAAAGGAUUAAAACUUUUUA